GCGGGUGUAGUUCAAUGGUAGAACUCCAGCUUCCCAAGCUGGUAGCGCGGGUUCGAUUCCCGUCACCCGCU
The sequence is a transfer RNA, 71 nucleotides long. It matches the Rfam family "tRNA". Rfam says of the family: Transfer RNA (tRNA) molecules are approximately 80 nucleotides in length. The record is from Rfam.